CGGAGGAGGUGACACCUGAACAGAGUCUUGGGAGAUCCAGGACGAGGAGCUGAAGAAGUUCUGUUCCCGGAUCUGUAAACUGCUGCAGGCGGAGGACUUGGGGCCGGACACCCUCGACUCCCUGCAGAGGCUCUUCCUCAUCAUCUCAGCCACGAAGUACAGCCGGAGGCUGGAGAAGACAUGCGUAGACCUGCUGCAGGCCACCCUCGGCCUGCCUGCAUGCCCCGAACAGCUCCAGGUGCUUUGUGCCGCCAUCCUGCGAGAGAUGUCCCCCUCUGAC
Molecule: long non-coding RNA, 280 nt
Filed under: Pan troglodytes (chimpanzee)
Lineage: Eukaryota; Metazoa; Chordata; Mammalia; Primates; Hominidae
Description: long non-coding RNA NONPTRT015464
Source: RNAcentral